This 795-nucleotide ribosomal RNA is filed under the name uncultured Staphylococcus sp. RNAcentral's name for it is "bacterial SSU rRNA". It matches the Rfam family "Bacterial small subunit ribosomal RNA", at positions 51 to 827 of the family's 1533-position model. Lineage: Bacteria; Bacillati; Bacillota; Bacilli; Caryophanales; Staphylococcaceae. The record is from RNAcentral.
CUAUAAUGCAGUCGAGCGAACAGAUGAGAAGCUUGCUUCUCUGAUGUUAGCGGCGGACGGGUGAGUAACACGUGGGUAACCUACCUAUAAGACUGGGAUAACUCCGGGAAACCGGGGCUAAUACCGGAUAAUAUUUUGAACCGCAUGGUUCAAUAGUGAAAGACGGUUUCGGCUGUCACUUAUAGAUGGACCCGCGCCGUAUUAGCUAGUUGGUAAGGUAACGGCUUACCAAGGCGACGAUACGUAGCCGACCUGAGAGGGUGAUCGGCCACACUGGAACUGAGACACGGUCCAGACUCCUACGGGAGGCAGCAGUAGGGAAUCUUCCGCAAUGGGCGAAAGCCUGACGGAGCAACGCCGCGUGAGUGAUGAAGGUCUUCGGAUCGUAAAACUCUGUUGUUAGGGAAGAACAAAUUUGUUAGUAACUGAACAAGUCUUGACGGUACCUAACCAGAAAGCCACGGCUAACUACGUGCCAGCAGCCGCGGUAAUACGUAGGUGGCAAGCGUUAUCCGGAAUUAUUGGGCGUAAAGCGCGCGUAGGCGGUUUCUUAAGUCUGAUGUGAAAGCCCACGGCUCAACCGUGGAGGGUCAUUGGAAACUGGGAAACUUGAGUGCAGAAGAGGAGAGUGGAAUUCCAUGUGUAGCGGUGAAAUGCGCAGAGAUAUGGAGGAACACCAGUGGCGAAGGCGGCUCUCUGGUCUGUAACUGACGCUGAUGUGCGAAAGCGUGGGGAUCAAACAGGAUUAGAUACCCUGGUAGUCCACGCCGUAAACGAUGAGUGCUAAGUGUUAGG